Molecule: long non-coding RNA, 238 nt
Filed under: Mytilus galloprovincialis (Mediterranean mussel)
Lineage: Eukaryota; Metazoa; Mollusca; Bivalvia; Mytilida; Mytilidae
Source: RNAcentral
CUGCGCCAUGAGCGUAUGAUACGCCCGACGUCUUAUGUGGAAGUUUUAUGCAAUAAUCAUAAAUAGUUUCUAAGAAAGUUUUAAGCAAUAACCAUAUAUUGUUUUUGAGACACGGCGGGACAUGUGAAACCCCGAACCCUGUUUUUUUUUUUUUUACGAAAAACUAAAUAUCACUAAAAUAAAAUUUUGAAUCAAAACCAAAAAGUAUACAGAUCUUUAGAUUAAUAUAACAAAGAAG